Molecule: ribosomal RNA, 503 nt
Filed under: uncultured bacterium
Lineage: Bacteria
Description: bacterial SSU rRNA
Rfam family: Bacterial small subunit ribosomal RNA
Source: RNAcentral
AUUGAACGCUGGCGGCAUGCCUUACACAUGCAAGUCGAACGGCAGCACGGGAGCUUGCUCCUGGUGGCGAGUGGCGAACGGGUGAGUAAUGCAUCGGAACGUGCCCUGAAGUGGGGGAUAACGUAGCGAAAGUUACGCUAAUACCGCAUAUUCUGUGAGCAGGAAAGCAGGGGAUCUUCGGACCUUGCGCUUUUGGAGCGGCCGAUGUCGGAUUAGCUAGUUGGUGGGGUAAAGGCCCACCAAGGCGACGAUCCGUAGCGGGUCUGAGAGGAUGAUCCGCCACACUGGAACUGAGACACGGUCCAGACUCCUACGGGAGGCAGCAGUGGGGAAUUUUGGGACAAUGGGCGCAAGCCUGAUCCAGCCAUGCCGCGUGAGUGAAGAAGGUCUUCGGGUUGUAAAGCUCUUUCGGUGGGGAGAAAUUGCUUGGGUUAAUACCCUGAGUAGAUGACGGUACCCGCAUAAGAAGCACCGGCUAACUACGUGCCAGCAGCCGCGGUAAU